RNAcentral lists this long non-coding RNA (225 nucleotides) under Eucalyptus grandis. RNAcentral describes it as "long non-coding RNA (EGRA_LNC006720)". Lineage: Eukaryota; Viridiplantae; Streptophyta; Magnoliopsida; Myrtales; Myrtaceae. The record is from RNAcentral.
AUUUGUGGCCAUUCAUAAUAAAUUAAGAGUUUUAUAUACUAUGUUUAGAUGGAGAAUUGCAUUAAACCUGAGUUGGAAACUCAUUUCCCCAUGAACAUGAAUCUAAAGCUUGUUGUCCAAAACAUGUAUCAUGUGUUCACUAAAAUGCCCGAAAGAACACUGAGAAAUUUUCAUGUCUAAGCUUGAAGCCAAUUCAUAUUUGCAUUUACAUUCGUCGAAUCCUAC